This 468-nucleotide ribosomal RNA is filed under the name uncultured bacterium. RNAcentral's name for it is "partial 16S ribosomal RNA". It matches the Rfam family "Bacterial small subunit ribosomal RNA", at positions 28 to 507 of the family's 1533-position model. The record is from RNAcentral.
GACGAACGCUGGCGGCGCGCCUAACACAUGCAAGUCGAACGGAGCUGAGAGAAGCUUGCUUUUCUUAGCUUAGUGGCGAACGGGUGAGUAACGCGUGAGUAACCUGCCCUGGAGUGGGGGACAACAGUUGGAAACGACUGCUAAUACCGCAUAAGCCCACGAUCCGGCAUCGGAUUGAGGGAAAAGGAUUUAUUCGCUUCAGGAUGGACUCGCGUCCAAUUAGCUAGUUGGUGAGGUAACGGCCCACCAAGGCGACGAUUGGUAGCCGGACUGAGAGGUUGAACGGCCACAUUGGGACUGAGACACGGCCCAGACUCCUACGGGAGGCAGCAGUGGGGGAUAUUGCACAAUGGGGGAAACCCUGAUGCAGCGACGCCGCGUGGAGGAAGAAGGUUGUCGGAUUGUAAACUCCUGUCGUUAGGGACGAUAAUGACGGUACCUAACAAGAAAGCACCGGCUAACUACGUG